AAGUCGUAACAAGGUUUCCGUAGGUGAACCUGCGGAAGGAUCAUUAACGAAUUUAUGAUUGAAGUUGUAGCUGGCCGCGAGGCAUGUGCACGCUUCUUUCGCAAAUCCACACAACACCUGUGCACCUUCGCGUGGGCUUUUCUGGCAGCUAGAGGGAAGUUGAUUCCCUCUGUUACCGGGAUUGCUCGCGUCUUUUUUUCAUAAACUCUUGUAUGUCUUCAGAAUGGUAUACUUUGAUGUAAUAAGAACGCAUCUAAAUACAACUUUCAACAACGGAUCUCUUGGCUCUC
RNAcentral lists this unclassified non-coding RNA (290 nucleotides) under air metagenome. RNAcentral describes it as "partial contains small subunit ribosomal RNA, internal transcribed spacer 1, and 5.8S ribosomal RNA". The stretch from base 1 to 46 matches the Rfam family "Eukaryotic small subunit ribosomal RNA", at positions 1786 to 1831 of the family's 1831-position model. The record is from RNAcentral.